AGAGUUUGAUCAUGGCUCAGGACGAACGCUGGCGGCGUGCUUAACACAUGCAAGUGGAGCGACGAACCGGGCUUCGGCCCGGGGCAAAGCCGCGAACGGGUGAGUAUCACGUGGGCAACCUGCCCCGAUGACCGGGACAACCCGAGGAAACUCGGGCUAAUACCGGAUGUGCUCCUCGCACAUCAGUGCAAGGAGUAAAGGAAGCUUCGGCCUCCGCAUUGGGAUGGGCCCGCGGCCCAUUAGCUUGUUGGUGAGGUAAAGGCUCACCAAGGCAACGAUGGGUAGCUGGUCUGAGAGGACGAUCAGCCACACUGGGACUGAGACACGGCCCAGACUCCUACGGGAGGCAGCAGUGGGGAAUCUUGCGCAAUGCGCGAAAGCGUGACGCAGCAACGCCGCGUGAGGGAAGACGGCCUUCGGGUUGUAAACCUCUUUCAGGAGGGACGAAGGUUCAGGCGCGAAUAGCGUCCUGGACUGACGGUACCUCCAGAAGAAGCCCCGGCUAACUACGUGCCAGCAGCCGCGGUAAUACGUAGGGGGCUAGCGUUGUCCGGAAUCAUUGGGCGUAAAGAACGUGUAGGCGGCCCGGUAAGUCCGCUGUAAAAGUCAAAGCCUCAACCUUUGAAUGUCAGUGGAUACUGCCGGGCUAGAGUCCGGAAGAGGCGAGUGGAACUCCUGGUGUAGCGGUGGAAUGCGCAGAUAUCAGGAAGAACACCAACGGCGAAGGCAGCUCGCUAGGACGGUACUGACGCUGAGACGCGAAAGCGUGGGGAGCGAACAGGAUUAGAUACCCUGGUAGUCCACGCCGUAAACGAUGGGCACUAGGUGUGGGAGGUGUCGACUCCUCCCGUGCCGGCGCUAACGCAUUAAGUGCCCCGCCUGGGG
Molecule: ribosomal RNA, 885 nt
Filed under: uncultured bacterium
Lineage: Bacteria
Description: bacterial SSU rRNA
Rfam family: Bacterial small subunit ribosomal RNA
Source: RNAcentral